RNAcentral lists this ribosomal RNA (402 nucleotides) under uncultured bacterium. RNAcentral describes it as "bacterial SSU rRNA". It matches the Rfam family "Bacterial small subunit ribosomal RNA", at positions 357 to 773 of the family's 1533-position model. The record is from RNAcentral.
GGGAAUAUUGGACAAUGGGCUAAAGCCUGAUCCAGCAAUUCCGCGUGAACGAUGAAGGUCUUCGGAUUGUAAAGUUCUUUCGGCAGGGAAGAAAAAAAUGACGGUACCUGCAUAAGAAGCACCGGCUAAUUACGUGCCAGCAGCCGCGGUAAGACGUAAGGUGCAAGCGUUAUCCGGAAUCACUGGGCGUAAAGGGCAUCUAGGCGGCUAAACAAGUCAGGGGUGAAAAGUCAGGGCUCAACCUUGGCCUUGCCUUUGAAACUGUAUAGCUAGAGUAUGGGAGAGGAAGGCGGAACUACAAGUGUAGAGGUGAAAUUCGUAGAUAUUUGUAGGAAUGCCGAUGACGAAGGUAGCUUUCUAGACCAAUACUGACGCUGAAGUGCGAAAGCUAGGGGAGCAAAC